UAACUUAAUAUAUUUACUGGAUUUUGGUAAUUGCAGCAUAUGACAAAAACAUGAAUGUGUUCUGCUACUCCUAUUUUAAUUUCUUCAAUGUGUUGGGAGUCCCUGCGUAUGUGCAAUGUGAACGUGUACAGGUGACUGGUGACGACGUAAAAAAAAAAUAUAUAUAUAUAUAUAUAUAUAUAUAUAUUUCCCCAAUCCCACUAUGUGCCCUGAUAACUCUAGACCAGAAGGUGGCAGAAGUGCACCAAUAGGUGGCGGAAGGUUGGUUUAAACAAAACAUCAUCAGUAGAAGACAACGAACUGAACUUCAGUGUCAGAUCGUGUUUGAAAUGUGGCCGCAAGAUUAGACAUCUGACAUCAAUGGGCGAUGAACAGCAGUUCUCCACGGCCUUCAAUUCUUCCUUGAAAAGGACCUUACUGA
Molecule: long non-coding RNA, 421 nt
Organism: Sinocyclocheilus grahami
Lineage: Eukaryota; Metazoa; Chordata; Actinopteri; Cypriniformes; Cyprinidae
Exons: 3
Source: RefSeq, a predicted model, not a curated record